UGGUGCAAAAGUAAUUGGGGUU
Molecule: microRNA, 22 nt
Filed under: Macaca mulatta (Rhesus monkey)
Lineage: Eukaryota; Metazoa; Chordata; Mammalia; Primates; Cercopithecidae
Description: Mml-Novel-16_5p* (star (passenger))
Source: RNAcentral